ACUCCUACGGGAGGCAGCAGUGGGGAAUAUUGCACAAUGGGCGCAAGCCUGAUGCAGCCAUGCCGCGUGUGUGAAGAAGGCCUUCGGGUUGUAAAGCACUUUCAGUCGUGAGGAAGGUAGUGUAGUUUAAAUAGCGGCAUCAUUUGACGUUAGCAACAGAAAGAAGCACCCGGCUAACUCCGUGCCAGCAGCCGCGGUAAUACGGAGGGUGCGAGCGUUAAUCGGAAUUACUGGGCGUAAAGCGCAUGCAGGUGGUUUUGUUAAGUCAGAUGUGAAAGCCCGGGGCUCAACCUCGGAACGCAUUUUGAAAACUGGCAGACUAGAGUACUUAG
This 332-nucleotide ribosomal RNA is filed under the name uncultured bacterium. RNAcentral's name for it is "bacterial SSU rRNA". It matches the Rfam family "Bacterial small subunit ribosomal RNA", at positions 335 to 653 of the family's 1533-position model. The record is from RNAcentral.